CUGGGUUCUGGGCUUCUGCCCGCCACCCGCCCUCUGUCAUCGAUAACGAAAUGCUUCGGCCGACGGUUUCGCGAGCGCCUGGCGAGAGCCCGGUGCGGACGAGGCCGCGGUCGGUCUUCCAACCCUGAGUUGCAUGCGUGUCGUCUGAAUGCAAAAGAAAACGAAACCA
RNAcentral lists this unclassified non-coding RNA (169 nucleotides) under uncultured fungus. Its description in RNAcentral is "sequence contains ITS1, 5.8S rRNA gene". The record is from RNAcentral. Lineage: Eukaryota; Fungi.